This 199-nucleotide ribosomal RNA is filed under the name uncultured bacterium. Its description in RNAcentral is "partial 16S ribosomal RNA". It matches the Rfam family "Bacterial small subunit ribosomal RNA", at positions 1294 to 1500 of the family's 1533-position model. The record is from RNAcentral.
CGGAUCGGAGUCUGNAACCCGACUCCGUGAAGCUGGAUUCGCUAGUAAUCGCGCAUCAGCCAUGGCGCGGUGAAUACGUUCCCGGGCCUUGUACACACCGCCCGUCAAGCCAUGGAAGCCGGGGGCGCUUGAAGUGCGUUGCCGCAAGGCGCGCCCUAGAGCGAAACCGGUGACUGGGGCUAAGUCGUAACAAGGUAUC